CGCAGCCGCGGUAAUUCCAGCUCCAAUAGCGUAUAUUAAAGUUGUUGCAGUUAAAAAGCUCGUAGUUGAAUUUCGAGACCGGUUUACUGGUCGUGCUUUUGUACGUACUGGUAUUAUUGGUUUCUCCUUUCUGACGAACUAUAAUGCCAUUAAUUUGGUGUUUUAGGGAAUCAGGACUGUUACUUUGAAAAAAUUAGAGUGUUUAAAGCAGGCUCACGCUUGAAUACAUUAGCAUGGAAUAACGGAAUAGGACGUUUGAUUCUAUUUUGUUGGUUUCUAGGAUCGACGUAAUGAUUAAUAGGGAUAGUUGGGGGCAUUAGUAUUCAAUUGUCAGAGGUGAAAUUCUUGGAUUUAUUGAAGACUAACUACUGCGAAAGCAUUUGCCAAGGAUGUUUUCAUUAAUCAAGAACGAAAGUUAGGGGAUCGAAGACGAUCAGAUACCGUCGUAGU
RNAcentral lists this ribosomal RNA (450 nucleotides) under uncultured Glomus. RNAcentral's name for it is "SSU rRNA". It matches the Rfam family "Eukaryotic small subunit ribosomal RNA", at positions 569 to 1024 of the family's 1831-position model. The record is from RNAcentral. Lineage: Eukaryota; Fungi; Glomeromycota; Glomeromycetes; Glomerales; Glomeraceae.